RNAcentral lists this non-coding RNA (107 nucleotides) under Thermanaerovibrio acidaminovorans. RNAcentral's name for it is "TPP sequence". It matches the Rfam family "TPP riboswitch aptamer (THI element)". Rfam says of the family: Vitamin B(1) in its active form thiamin pyrophosphate (TPP) is an essential coenzyme that is synthesised by coupling of pyrimidine and thiazole moieties in bacteria. The previously detected thiamin-regulatory element, thi box was extended, resulting in a new, highly conserved RNA secondary structure, the THI element, which is widely distributed in eubacteria and also occurs in some archaea. RNAcentral also lists the same sequence under 1 other name. The record is from RNAcentral. Lineage: Bacteria; Thermotogati; Synergistota; Synergistia; Synergistales; Synergistaceae.
GCAACGCAUCGGGGGAGCCGAAGGGCUGAGAGGGGAAGGCCAUCCUUCCCGACCCCUUGAACCUGAUCCGGGUAACGCCGACGAAGGGAAGGUGCGGGAUUCAAUAC